Molecule: ribosomal RNA, 253 nt
Filed under: uncultured bacterium
Lineage: Bacteria
Description: partial 16S ribosomal RNA
Rfam family: Bacterial small subunit ribosomal RNA
Source: RNAcentral
UACAGAGACUGCAAGCGUUGUUCGGAUUCAUUGGGCGUAAAGGGUGCGCAGGCGGCGGGGCAAGUCGGAUGUGAAAUCUCGAGGCUUAACCUCGAUGGGUCAUUCGAAACUGCCUUGCUUGAGGACUGGAGAGGAGACUGGAAUGGCUGGUGUAGCGGUGAAAUGCGUAGAGAUCAGCCAGAACACCGGUGGCGAAGGCGGGUCUCUGGACAGUUCCUGACGCUCAGGCACGAAAGCCAGGGGAGCAAACGGG